RNAcentral lists this long non-coding RNA (1006 nucleotides) under Salmo salar (Atlantic salmon). RNAcentral's name for it is "lncRNA (ENSSSAG00000106857.1)". The record is from RNAcentral. Lineage: Eukaryota; Metazoa; Chordata; Actinopteri; Salmoniformes; Salmonidae.
CGUUAAUAUGGGGAAGAGGAAAUGGAAGGAUCUUCCACUGUCCAGUAUCAUCACUGGACUGACUAUUGGAUUUAAAGUAACAUGAGACUUCAUCUGGUCUCCAAAUAUAACAAUAGCACAGGAGACUGGUCAUAGAUUGACUCUGAAGAGAUUCCACCUUCAGAGACUUUGGCCUCCCCGACAGAGUGACCUGCCCUCCCAAGCAAGGUGUGAGGACCCUCAUCCUUCCUGUCUCCACACACUCCCAUUCUUCUUCUCCUCUCCUACCACCCCUCUCAGGGCAGAAUGGUCCGGUCUGUGCAGGAGCUGUUUCUGAACUUCACAGUAGUCUUAAUCACUGUGCUGCUCAUGUGGCUCCUAGUCAAGACCUACCAGGCCUGAACCACCAGGGGACAGAUACAAGGGGAGAGAGAUGAAGGGCUGAGAAAUGGGGGGAACUGGGUGGUACAUUCUUAUCCAAUUACUGCAGUUGCAAACAAUCUUGAAAGCUUAUUGGGCGACAGGUAGCCUAGUGGUUAGAGCCCGGGCUGCUGGCAUCAUCCUAGAUGCCAUUGCCUGCUGUUGUGCCCUUGAACGAGGCACUUGACCCCCUACACUUUCUCUGCGGCUGAUCCAUGCGUCUGACCCAUUGCUUCCAGUCCCUCGGGUGUGUGUUUGUCUCGGGGGGUUGGGUUGUGAGCUUAAAGGCACAUUUCCAUUAAUGUACAAUAUAGUUAACGGACAAUAAAGUACAAUACAUCGUAUAUUAUCUUCAUUCUGAAACAUAGCAGUUGCACAUAUUAAGUGAAUACAAGACAUAUUAAGUGAAUACAAGACAUAUUAAGUGAAUACAAGACAUAUUAAGUGAAUACAAGACAAAUUAAGUGAAUACAAGACAUUGAAAGGUAUAGAUAUAGCUUCACUGCUUCAGCUGUCUGCUAAGAAAGACAUGCAGUUCCUCACUCCUGCCUCUUAGAGGGACUGUUGUGUUAGAGAUGAGUUGGCAAGCAUUCUGUUUACACGCUCU